CCCUACGGGGCGCAGCAGUGAGGAAUAUUGGUCAAUGGGCUUACGCCUGAACCAGCCAAGUCGCGUGAGGGAAGACUGCCCUAUGGGUUGUAAACCUCUUUUGUCAGGGAGCAACGCCGGCUACGUGUAGCCGGACUGAGAGUACCUGAAGAAAAAGCAUCGGCUAACUCCGUGCCAGCAGCCGCGGUAAUACGGAGGAUGCGAGCGUUAUCCGGAUUUAUUGGGUUUAAAGGGUGCGUAGGCGGAAUGCCAAGUCAGCGGUAAAAUCGCGGGGCUCAACCUUGCUCCGCCGUUGAAACUGGCGU
Molecule: ribosomal RNA, 305 nt
Filed under: uncultured bacterium
Lineage: Bacteria
Description: bacterial SSU rRNA
Rfam family: Bacterial small subunit ribosomal RNA
Source: RNAcentral